UACGGAGGGAGCUAGCGUUGUUCGGAAUUACUGGGCGUAAAGCGCACGUAGGCGGCUUUUCAAGUCAGGGGUGAAAUCCCGGGGCUCAACCUGGGAAGUGCAUUUGAAACUGCGUAGCUUGAGUAUGGAAGAGGGUAGUAGAAUUCCUGGUGUAGUGGUGAAAUACGUAGAUAUCAGGAGGAAUUCCAGUGGCGAAGGCGGCUACCUGGUCCUAUACUGACACUGAGAUACGAAAGCGUGGGGAUCAAACAGGAUUAGAAACCCGGGUAGU
RNAcentral lists this ribosomal RNA (271 nucleotides) under uncultured bacterium. RNAcentral describes it as "partial 16S ribosomal RNA". It matches the Rfam family "Bacterial small subunit ribosomal RNA", at positions 524 to 794 of the family's 1533-position model. The record is from RNAcentral.